UCUCCGUAGGUGAACCUGCGGAGGGAUCAUUACAGAGUUCUCGCCCUCGCGGGUAGAUCUCCCACCCACUGUUAUCGUUACUGUGUUGCUUUGGCGGGCCGCCGGGCCCCGCUCGGCCGCCGGCUCCGGCUGGCGCGCGCCCGCCAGAGGCCCAGCAAACUCUGAAUGUUAGUGUCGUCUGAGUACUAUAUAAUAGUUAAAACUUUCGACAACGGAUCUCUUGGUUCUG
RNAcentral lists this unclassified non-coding RNA (229 nucleotides) under plant metagenome. RNAcentral's name for it is "partial contains small subunit ribosomal RNA, internal transcribed spacer 1, and 5.8S ribosomal RNA". The record is from RNAcentral.